CCCGUGGGAGGACGGCGUGUGGCCUGCGUGGCUGCAAACCGUUUCUUUUUUCACUCCGGACAUCUUGCUUCCCGGAAUAGACGCCUUUGUUUCAGUGAUUCCCAUCCCGGGCGACAGACCCAAGUUACUGUGUUUGAAUCGGCACCGAGCUCCCCGGGGCGGGGUCUCCCCGUGGCUUUCUGUCCGGCCUCCUGCGUCCGCGUCUCCCUCUCUGCCCGCUCGGUGCCCGUUGGUACAAAAUGGGCAGCUCCCACAGGUUACUGUGUCUUUAAGCGACCGGACUGGCCUUUUCCAUACCCAUGUGGCCUUCCCAGAUGUCGGUAUCGGUACGGGCUGGAUUCUAGUGGUGGCGUUGGGAGCGGCCGGUGGUGGUCAUUUGGCAAAGGCCUGGUCUGUACUUCAGGGUACAGAGAAGAUUCCAUAUGGCCAUGACUUCGAGUGAACUUGAGGGUUGGUGGGAGGAAUCGCUAAAGCUUGAGGGGAGAGGGGAGCUGGGCCUCAGGUGACCGAUUCAUUGAUGUGUCAAACAAUCGGAGGCUCGCGGUGCUUGGGGUGGGACCCUGGCCUACCGGCCUCCACUGAGCUUUCCGGGACGACGGCAGAGCAGCAGUCUCCGGGGAGGGGAUCUGCCCUCUCUCUCUCUCUCUCUCUCUCUCUCUCUCUCUCUCUCUCUCUCCCCCCCCCCCCCCCGCCCCCCAAAAGUUUCUGUUUCACUUGACGCUAGAACUUGCAGGUCAGUAUUUUGCCAGUCAUAGCCCUAGAGGGCUUCCCAUGUACUUUCACCUCAUGUUUCAGAAUUACUGUGAUUCUGAAGAUGGACCUUUUUUUUUUUUUUUUUUUUUUAAUCGGUUCCCCGUUGAGGAAAAGAAAAGGGAAGGCUCUAGGAAAGUCCCUGUUGACCCUGGUGGGAACGGUUAGUGGCAUUCACACCAAUUGUGUGGAAUGGAUUGUAUGCGAAUCCCGCCCCCAGUAAAUACCUUAAAGGACACCUGGUUGCCUCUGUCCCUUGAAGGCCCGCACUCGGUCUUGGGACAGUGCAGUGAAACUCCUUUUUGGUUUUUUGUGGGUUGUUUUUUUUUAAAUUUUUAUCUUUUUGAGUGUAACUAGAUUUAUGUUUAGACGAUUUUUAAAAGUAACUGCAGUCUUUGAACUCUGGAAAUUAUCAAGCUUAAGCUGAUUUCAUACAAUUUAUAGCAUUAUUGAAGUUGAUUUGUAUCUUAUGACAUAUAUUUCAGCUACUUAAUUCAUUCUCAUAAGUUGUAUUGACAUUGAAUUGAGCAAGUGAUCAUUUAAAAUAGAUUUUUAUUUAGUUCCCCUUUUUAUGGAGGGGGAGUGACAGCCUAAUAAUUGUUUCCUGAGUAUUUUACUGUUCUCUUGACCUCUCAUAAAUUUAGUGAAACUUAGAACUUGUGUCUGCCUGUGGGUUAGCACUCCUACCACUAAGAUUACUUUUAAUAUUCCACUUGAGUUGUAGCUGGGUGAGUUAGGUGAUUAGAUAGUCAAGCAAACAUUUAUCGAGUCCGUAAUGCUGGGCACUGUGGUAGGCACUGCUGAUAAGUGAUGAUAAGAGACCCCUCUGGGGGCCGUCUAGUGAGGACAGCCACAUUGGAGUGUGCAAAGUGCUACAUUAGGGGUAAGCAUAGAAAGGAGGGGUGACUAGCCUCAAUUGUGGAAAGUCUGUGUUGGCAUGCAUGGAGAUGAUGUUAAAACAGCCCCUCCUGGCUGGGACACUCAGUUGGUUAGAGCGUCAUCCCCAUAUGCCAAGGUUUGAUCCCCGGGCAGGACACAUGCAAGAGACAACCAGUGAAUGCAUAAAUGGGUGGAACAACAAAUCAAUGUCUGUCUCUGUCUAUCUCUCAAUUCCUCGUUUUCUCUAAAAUAAAAUAAAGCCUGAAUGACAGAUAGGAAUUGGACUAGAGGGGUGGGAUAGAGCCUUUCUGGGAAAGGGAUCCGUAGAAGAAACCUGUAGUAAGAUCAGGGAUUUAAUUCAUGUGAUCAACUUUAACCUGCCAUUGAAAAGGGUGGGGUGGAAAGCAGGAAACAAAGCAUUAACUCCAUCUACUCCACUCUUUUUUGUAAUGGGUGCACACUCCACUAAAACAUAAUCCUGUAAGAUAAUGACAUAAUGUUUUUGUGUAGUCCUUUUACGUGGGAAAAUAUGUGAUGGUUUUGGAUAAAGCCUGCUGGGUUGGAAUUGUUUGGCAGGUUAAUGGGACUUUGGCACUUUGGCAAGUUACUUAAUAUCUCUGUUUCAGUUUCUUCUUUAGUGUUAAUGAUAGUAUCUACCGCAUAGGAUAGUUAUGAGGAUUUUAUGGGUCAAUGUGAGUAAAGCGCCUAGCACGGUGCCAGGCACACUAAGGGCACAGUACAUAUUAGCUAUAUAUAGAAUAUGUGACCCUUCUGCUGCUCAAGGGUGGCAGAACAAAUUACUUUAUGGAUUGAAUGUCCUACACAAGUGGCCACCCUCAUAUUUGCGAGUGCUCUGCUAAACAAUUUCACUUUAGAUUCUGAGACUUCUGCAUUUUGAUAUAAAAAUGUUUGAUAUGUUUGAUUAUUUUUAUAUGGUUUGUUGAACAGUAUAAGUUGAGAAAUGAAUAAAUAAAUAUAAAAUUCUGAGUACAGUUCUAACAUGUAUUAGCUCUGUGUGCAGGUUUAGAAGUCUAUAUUGUCUUAAUCUAGUGCUGUCCAAAAGAAAAAAAAAUGUGAGCUACAAAGAUAUUAUUUUUUAGUAGCCACAUUAAAAAAGUAAAAGAUGCUCUGGCUGGUGGUUAGAGCUCGGGUUCGGUCUCUGUUCCCAGUCAAGGGCACACACCUGGGUUGCAGGUUCAAGCCUUUGGAGAGUGAAGCAUGUGGGAGUCAACCAGUUGAUUUGUCUCUCUCAUAUAGAUGUUUCUCCCUCUCCCUCCGUUACUCCCUCACUCCCUCAUUCCCUCCUUCCCACCUUCCCACCCCCCCAUCCUUCCCUUCCACUUUCUCUAAAAAUCAAUGGAAAAAAUAUUCUCAGGUGAAGAUUAACCAAAAAAAAAGUAAAAAGAAGAAUUUAAUAAUAUAUUUUUGCUUACUUUAUUCAAAAUGUUUUAUUAUGUAAUUAAUAUUAAAAAGUUUUGCGAUAUUUUACAUUCUUUUUCUCCAGUGUGUAUGUUAUACUUACAGCUCAUUUUUUAAAAAAUAUAUUUUUAUUGAUUUCAGAGAGGAAGGGAGAGGGUAGGAUAGAUAGAAACAUCAAUGAUGAGAGGGAAUCAUUGAUCAGCUGCCUCCUGCAUGCCCCCUACUAGGGAUAGAGCCCGCAACCCGGGCAUAUGCCCUUGACCGGAAUUGAACCCGGGACCCUUCAGUCCGCAGGCCGAUGCUCUAUCCACUGAGCAAAACCAGCUAGGGCACUUACAGCUCAUUUUAAUUUAGGCACAUUUUAAGUGUGGCAGUUGGCUACCAUAUUGGACAGUGCAUGUCUAUAUAGUUUGUCUAAACUAGCCAUUUGUCUAAUGUGCAGAUAACUAGAAAUCCUUUGAAUAUACACUACUUUUAGGACAUUUAAAAUUUUAUCAGUUGACUAGGAGUUUUUUUCUGUUUCAUUUUGCUUUUUUAAAAAAAAAUCUAAAAUAUUCUCUAAUUAUAAAUGAUAGUGAAAUUUGAGUUGUCACCUGAUAGUGAAAACCUCCUGAGGUUGGAAUAGAAGUUGUUAUCUUGCAGGUUCAGAGGGGCCAAACUGUCGAUAUAAAGAAAGCCACCAUUUUUUCAGGCACAGCCAUUUCAGUUACUUAUUGGUUAUUGAUUCUUGGAAGAAAUAAUUUUUAUAGGCUUAUGGUGCUUGCUUCCAGUGCUCACAAAGACUACUGUAUUUAAAUUUUUCUGUAUACUUUCAGUUUCCACACAUCUAUAUGAGAAAUUACGUAUGAUGCUCAUAAAAUUUAUUGCAGAUGAUUGCAAAAAAUAAAAUUACUGGUAUGUUCCAUACUCACUAAUUUCAAACUGAAUAGAAGGACAGUAGAAACUCCACAAGGGCAGAGAUCUUUGUCUUCUUUUUUUGCUGAUAGAUGUUAAGCACCUAGAAGAGUCCUUGCAUUUCAUGGGUUCGUGAUAAAUAAUUAUUGAAAACAGGCAGACAGGUAGUACAAGCAGGAUUCUCUAAUACAGAAUUGGGGCUCGUUUUAUUUUAAUAUUUUCCUGUCUACCUACUUCCUGAGUAUUAUAUAUGUGAUGUAGAUUGGGAUCAGAUUUUACUUAAGAAUAUCAGCUGUUUGGCUAAUAGAGUAAUUUUAGGGUAAAACUGGUCUUGGAAAUUCAAAGAUUGAGAAGUAUUUGCUAAACAGAGUUACUGGUUUUGAAUGAGCAGAUUUCAGUGGUUGAUCUGACCAUAACCCUCUUGGCAGUAAAGCUCAGGAAAGCAUUACCCUAUAGUGAUAAUGGCAAUUACAUAGACUAUGUAGAAAUUUUUGGUGGGCUGUUUUACUGAAUGUAUACCUUUUGGUAUUGUUAAUCCUCCCACCUCUAGAUUAUUAUUACUUUUUUAAAAUGUAUAUAUUUUUAUUGAUUUCAGAGAGGAAGGGAGAGAGAGAAAGUGAUAGAAAAGAGACAUCAAUGAUGACAGAAUCAUUGAUAGGCUGCCUCCUGUAUGCCCCCUACUAGGGAUGGAGCCUGCAAUCCAGGCAUGUGCCCUGACCAGGAAUCAAACCGUGACCUCCUAUUUCAUAGGUCAACACUCAACCACUGAGCUGUACUAGCCAAGCUAUUAUUACUUUUUCCAUAGGGUAUACUUUUCAUGGGAAAUGGAGUCUCUGGGCUUUGUAUAAGAAAUUAAAUUGGUAAAGCCUCUUGUUCCUAGGAAAGGUAUAAUGAACGCAUCCUUUUUGUUGUCUUUCUGGGUGUUUUUCUGGCUUUAGAAGAGUAGGAUGGUUUCACUAAUCUGCAUUUAAGAACUGGUUGGUUAAAUUGAACUGAGCCCAUUUUAUAUGGAGAAGCUACUUUUUAGAGAAAUGAGUAAAACCUUUGUCAUAUUAAACAUGUCUGUGCUUUGCUGUGAUACUCAGGCAACAAGUGGCUCAUGCUGCAGGAAUGCCAGAGUGCCUAAGGAAUUUCUUUCAUUCAAACACAUAUUUUUAGGAUUGAUUAAAAACUAUUCAGACAUUUUCCCAAAGAAGAUAUACAGAUGACCAAGAAGCACAUGAAAAGAUGUUCUACAUCAGUAAUCAUUAGAGAAAUGUAAGUCAGUACCACUAUGAGAUGUCAUUUCACACCAAUUAGGACUUAUAAAAAAUGAAUUUCCUCAUACAAUUACCUGCUCAAGUGCUUGCUUUCCGUUCUUUUGGGGGUAUAUACCUAGAAAUGGAAUUGCUGGAUCAUAUUAUAGUUAUAUUUUUAAUUUUUUGAGAAACCACCAUAUUGUUUUCCAUCGUGGCUGCACUGUUGUACAUUCCCAUUAGUCCUGCACCCACGUUUCAAUAUCUUCAUGUCAUCAUCAACAUUUGUUAUUAUCUGUUGAGCAGCAUUAUUCAUAGUAGCCAAAAUGUAGAAAUAAUUCAAAUGUCCAAGGGAUUAAUGGGUACACAAAAUGUAGUUUAUACAUAAGGUGGAAUAUUAUUCAGCCUAAAAAAAAAAGAAAAGAAAAAGAAAUGAAA
Long non-coding RNA from Myotis daubentonii (Daubenton's bat), 5615 nucleotides. RefSeq lists it as uncharacterized. The record is from RefSeq and is a predicted model, not a curated record. Lineage: Eukaryota; Metazoa; Chordata; Mammalia; Chiroptera; Vespertilionidae.